Molecule: long non-coding RNA, 1263 nt
Filed under: Monodelphis domestica (gray short-tailed opossum)
Lineage: Eukaryota; Metazoa; Chordata; Mammalia; Didelphimorphia; Didelphidae
Description: lncRNA (ENSMODG00000043616.1)
Source: RNAcentral
AAAAAAAAAACCCAAGGAACUUUGAAGAGACUAAAGGCUACAUUCUAAGGCAUUUCAGACUCCAAUGGUUUAUAAACAUCUCUGUAUUCUAUUGCAUUUUUUGUUUAAGAUAUAACUUUGUGAUUUUAAGUUCAUAUAUUACUGGAUUCAAUAUUAUUCUGUGAACUGAAGGUUGAUUGAAUUUAUUUUGAAUGUACUGAGUUUUAAAAUUCUGUUGUUUUUCCCCUAUAACUGUGUUGAACAAAUAUUAUUGUGAAUAAGCCCAUAUAUGAAAAAACAGCUUUUUUCUAUUUUGCUGAGGAUAGAUGGACUUCAGAACUGGUUAUAAUUGUAUUAACAACCUUGGAAAAUUUAAUGUGCUAAAUACCUCAAAUGAUUUGAUUUUAAGGGUUUUUUAAAUAUGAUUGUUGGAAUUUUUUUUAACAAUCUGGUUAUUUUGCCUGCCCCUACCACGAGGUAAGGCCCAUUCUAGUAGCUGAAGUGAAAUGUAUUUUAUAAACCCCAACCUUCCCACAUGUGAAUGGAAGUUGGGCAGUUAAUUUCAGGGCAUUUGUACCCUUAAAAAGCCUUCAAAAGGAGCACCCCUUUAUUUAUACUCUUCAGCUCACUACUUUACUUGCACCAGAAUGAUAUCUAGAUUUCUUGAUUAUGUUCUUAACCCAAGAUGAGUUUUACUUUGUUUAAAAAAAAAUAUGUUUAUUACCAAGGUUGAAAGAUUGCUCUGUUUGUAAAAAUUGUGACAAAUGUCCAUCAAUUCAUAGGUUUUAAAAAUGUCAUACAGCAACUUAUGUGAAAUAUGAAAGUGUGUUUGUUUGCUAUUGUAAUUAAUUGGGCUAUUGAGAAUUUUGGGGAUUGUGAUAUCUACAUAUUUGUACUACUGUAUUUUUAGAGAUGAAAAAAUUGUUAACCUUGUUCAAUUCAUUUGCCUUCUACUCACAGUGAUCAUGGCCAGAUACAAAGAGGAAAUGGAUCUCAUUUUUUGGAAUGUUGUUGAUACCAGAGAGUGGAGAUGCCAAGAUCUGAGUGGGGGAUUCCCUUUCUUCACAGGGAGUUCUCGAAUCUACUCCCUGGACAAACCUCUCCCUGUUCUUCUCAUCAGGGACUGUAAGGGGAAAAAACCGAAUUCAGCCAAGCGCAGUAUACAUUUAUAACAAUACUAAUUAUUAUUCUAUUAUCAAUUUUCUCCUAUGCUGGAGCCUGAAGAAGACAAUAGAAUACAGAUGGACAACUAAAGCUGAGAAUAAAUGGGACAAAUAAAGAACA